CUUUUUUUUUCUCUCCACCAGGGCCCUGUCCAUGCUAACUUUUUUUAAACUUUUCAAACCAAUUGAUGGUAAAGCAUACAUCAAGUCUUACUCAGUUUAAUAGACAUUUAGCGGGUGCCUACUAUGUGUAAGGCCCUGUGGAUGCAAAGCUGAAGAAUACACAGAGAUCUCUGCAGAAAGACUAGGGGGGCUUCUGUAGCACCUCCAUUCUCAGUCACCCAAUCCUACCCAACCACAGUAUCUCUUGGGAGCAGAUGCUGCUGAUGUGGGCAAAGCAGAGUUAGCAAAGGCAUGACUUGUCACACACCACUGCCGCAAUCCGUGGCUGUAAGGGGGCCUCAGCGACCUUUUGGGCCUGGGCUGUUUGGUUCAGCUUCCUCUUCUGAGACCCCAUCUCCUAGCUGCACAUUAUGCUAGCAGGACCCAGAGAGAUUUAUUUGGUGACCUUUCUGGAUGCAGAAUCCAAGCAGGGGGAGGGAGAAAAUCAGCUCCGAAGCGGUUAAUUUUACUGGCUCCUAAAUUGAUAAGCGGUGGUACGUCAGUCUGAAAUGAACUCGCCUUGUUCGACGGGGUUCUAAGACAGCGGAACUCAAUCAACAGCGGGCCGCACGGUUCAAGGCUGCAAUUCAUCCCGCCGUGCCUCUGAAAAAUGGGAGGUGACAGUUCAUUUUGCCAGUGACAGUCUGUCGGUCUCGCUCGCUGCUUCUCCUGUCGAUUGCCUGGCUGAGGUGAAGUGCAGCUCAGAGACACCCUCGUUUGGUAUUCUACUCAGCUGAGCAGGAUGGUCCCAGGACCCAAGGUGUGCAAAUCUUACUGCCCCUACAGCUUGUCUUCUUCCCUUCUGGGAAGCUCUGAACUGCUCAUGCAUGAUUAUGGGUCCCAGGAGUCAUCUUCCCACUUCCUGUCCUUCACCUUUCCCUCCAACCUUCACUUCCGGUGGACUGGGCUUCCUCCUGUCGCUGGGACCUUGUGAAACAAAGCUAACCUGUUCAGGAGCCUUCCAGCCUACCAGUAGAGGACUGUGCAUGGGCAGCGACACGUGGGCGUGGUGCAAGUGGGGGCACGAGGGAACACCAGACACAACCAGCUGGGCUCUGCCUUGGCAACCACAGCUUUAGUUUUAGAGGAAACCCUUGAACAAGGGC
Molecule: long non-coding RNA, 1145 nt
Filed under: Macaca fascicularis (crab-eating macaque)
Lineage: Eukaryota; Metazoa; Chordata; Mammalia; Primates; Cercopithecidae
Description: lncRNA (ENSMFAG00000048517.1)
Source: RNAcentral